AUGUGGGAAGCGGUACCAGUGAAGAUUCAGGGGGCAACUAGAACUCAUAUAUGCUCAGAUGUUGCUUAUUUGACGAAUUUGAUGUGGUGGCACAGCUGCAGUUUUCCGAUCUCUUAUGCAUUCAGAUGGUUAUUAGUCUUGUGGGAGCACAAAAGACAACUUUGUAUCCUGAUCAUAUUUUUCUACUUCCGAAUUCCACAUGGUCCUCUGAACCGUUUAGUUGUGUUUUCCAGGAUAGUGUGUUCAGUAUGUCUGACUGCCAGGAUUUGCCGAAGGAAACAAAUGAGCAUAGCUGGAUGGAGCUCCAGCAUCUUGAGUUCUUGGUGUUGCACCUGUGAGACUGCAGGUGCUGACAGUCUAAUGCCUUUAGAAUUGGCUCUCAAAAUUUCAACCGAGAUUAGAGCUGGCGAACGAUUUGCAGUUUAUAUAAAGGAACGGAGGGAGUAA
RNAcentral lists this ribosomal RNA (447 nucleotides) under Triticum aestivum (bread wheat). RNAcentral describes it as "partial small subunit ribosomal RNA". The record is from RNAcentral. Lineage: Eukaryota; Viridiplantae; Streptophyta; Magnoliopsida; Poales; Poaceae.